GUCCGACGAGAAAUUUGUGGUCCAUAUGACAGUAAUAACAAUACCUGGUUUGUAGAGAUGUACAUCGUUACGGACCAAAGACUGUACAUUACCUACAGUCAACAGUAUAGCGUGGUCAUUCAAAGAGCUGAAGACAUUGUGAAUAUUGUUAGCAAGGUGAUGCCAUGGAUGAUGAGGACAGAAAGAAGAUCCUAGGCAAGCCUAUUAAAUACAAGAGCCAAACUAUAAAACAUCACAAACUUAAUCUUAGGAAAAAAAAUGACCCUAUAUAUAAUUUUUCAACAAGAGCCAGAGA
Long non-coding RNA from Saccostrea echinata, 295 nucleotides. RefSeq lists it as uncharacterized. The transcript has 3 exons. Lineage: Eukaryota; Metazoa; Mollusca; Bivalvia; Ostreida; Ostreidae. The record is from RefSeq and is a predicted model, not a curated record.